Molecule: non-coding RNA, 398 nt
Filed under: Saccharomyces cerevisiae YJM248
Lineage: Eukaryota; Fungi; Ascomycota; Saccharomycetes; Saccharomycetales; Saccharomycetaceae
Source: RNAcentral
AGAUAUUUAUAUUAUUAAUAGGAAAGUCAUAAAUAUAUAAAUUAUAUUAUAUAAUUAAUAUAAUAAUAAAAUAAAUUAUAUAUUUUAUUUAUAAUAUUAUUUCUUUAUAAGAUAAAAUAUUAUCUGAUGAAUAAUUAGAUUAAAUAAUAUUUAUAAAGAAAUAUAUAUAUAUAUAAAAAGUCAUUAUAUAAAUUUAAUUAUAAUUUAAAUAAAUUUUAUAUAAAUUAAUAUAAUAUUAAUAAAGUAAUUAGUAUAAAUAAAUAAUAUGAAAAUAAAACUUAAUAAAUAUAUAAAUAUAGUCCAUAUAUAUAUAUUAAUAAAAAAAAGUAAUAUAUAUAUAUAUAUUGGAAUAGUUAUAUUAUUAUACAGAAAUAUGCUUAAUUAUAAUAUAAUAUCCA